CAUUUUCUUUAUCUUUUCGUCUCCUCAAAGCUGGAGAGGAAAUCGAAAUCCCGAGCCUAGGGUUUUUGAACAUACUGUAGUGUGAAAUAUCCGUGUCUCUGAAUCUCUCAAUCCACCGCGGACUUCAAAUCCUUUACUUCUUAAGGGGCCGUCAGCUGGAAAGUUUAUCCCAUAGUUCCUCACAGAAACAUAUUUUUAAUAACCAUAUCUUAAGAAAGAAACGAUGUCUGGAAGAAAUCGAGGACCCCCUCUUCCAUUGAAAGGAGCUCCUCAUGCUGGAUUGCCCCCUGCAGUUCGUGAAGUGCCAUUUGGCAGGGGGGUUGGGCCAAUGCCCCAUCCAGCUCUACUUGAGGAGAUGAGAGAAUCCCAUUUCGGAAUGGGUCCCAGGCCGCUUCCUCCUCAUCCUGCAAUAAUUCAGGAGGGUCUUGAUGCUCAGUAUCAAGAAAUUCAGGGUCUCUUAGUCGAUAACCAGAGGCUAGCUGCCACCCAUGUUGCCCUUAAGCAGGAACUGGAAGCUACCCAGCAUGAGUUGCAAAGAAUGGGUCACUUUGCAGACUCCUUGCGGGCGGAGAAGGACGGUCAGAUGAGAGAAUUGUAUGAGAAGUCUGUUCAUUUGGAGGUGGAUCUUCGUGGGGUUGAGGCUAUGCGUGCUGAGCUUAUUCAAGUUCGUGCCGAUAUUAAAGAGCUCAGUGUCGGAAGGCAGGAGCUGACAGGUCAGGUACAAGCGAUGACACAAGAUUUGGCUAGACUUACAGCAGAUUUGCAACAGGCGCCAGCAUUACGAGCAGAAAUUGAGUCUAUGAAGCAGGAGUUGCAACGUGCAAAAGCAGCCAUUGAGUAUGAGAAGAAAGGAUAUGCAGACAAUUAUGAGCAUGGUCAAGUGAUGGAGAAGAAGCUGCUCUCAAUGGCUCGAGAAUUGGAGAAGCUUCGUGCAGAGAUUGCUAAUGCAGAGAAGAGAGCUCGUGCUGCUGCUGCUGUUGGGAACCCAGGGACAGGCUACAACGUGAAUUAUGGCAAUCCUGAGGCAGGUUAUGCAGGAAAUCUUUAUCCUGCUAGCUAUGGCAUGAAUCCUGCACAGGCUGGUGCAGAAAAUUUCCCCCAUUAUGGACCUGGUCCUGCUUCCUGGAGUGCCUAUGAAAUGCAACGAGCUCAAGGACACAGAUAGACUUUUCUCACUAUCACACCAAGCUGUGUUAUAACCGGUUUACAACCCGCUGUCUCUAAAAAUCUUCUCCUUCUGCCAUCCGUCAAUCCAUGAGGUGGUUAUCCUGUAAAGUGGCACAAGCUAGAAACCCGAGCUGUUUUAUUCCCUGUGCCACCCCCCACCUAGCCUUUAUAGGGGCUGCCUGAGAUCAGUGGCCUGGCUAGAUCAGACUGGUUUAUAGAAUCGUGUCCACGGACGUAUAUCACCAAUAUGGUUUCUAUACAGCAGUGGGUUUUGAUCCGUGCUUCUUGAUCCAUCAUUCUGACUUGUAUUUCUUUCAUUGACGGCCUCACCUCCGUGGUUGCGCACAACAACGGAAAUCGUCUUUAAAUUUUAAUGCGGAUAUGAAAGUUACUUUGGUUCGAACACCCAUGGGCUGGUUUGUGAAGGCUCCUUUGUCAGUCAACUAUGGUAAUCAUGACGAGGAUGAUGAAAAUUAAAUAUGAGCUAUUGGUUUUGGGUUUUAACAAGUAAACUCAGAUCCAUUGAAAGAGUGAGCAGAUGAUGAAAUGCAUCUGAAGAGCCUAGUUAUGGUUCCCGUAUGCUAUUUGAUGAUACAACUCUUCUCAUACUGUUUCCAUCCAUAGCUCCUGAUCUCUUUUCUAUGUUUUUAUUUUUUUUAUUUUCUUAGAUCAUCACGCGAGAGUUGUUGGGUAACUU
This is an RNA transcript of Juglans regia (Persian walnut), 1864 nucleotides long. It is a transcript of the gene named protein FLX-like 1, with no coding region annotated. Lineage: Eukaryota; Viridiplantae; Streptophyta; Magnoliopsida; Fagales; Juglandaceae. The transcript has 7 exons. The record is from RefSeq and is a predicted model, not a curated record.